GUCUGGCUAGCUCAGUUGGUAAAGCAUGGGACUCUUGAUCUCAGGAUCUUGGGUUUGAGCCCCAUGCUGGGCG
This 73-nucleotide transfer RNA is filed under the name Pangasianodon gigas (Mekong giant catfish). Its description in RNAcentral is "tRNA-Lys". It matches the Rfam family "tRNA". Rfam says of the family: Transfer RNA (tRNA) molecules are approximately 80 nucleotides in length. Lineage: Eukaryota; Metazoa; Chordata; Actinopteri; Siluriformes; Pangasiidae. The record is from RNAcentral.